This 2306-nucleotide long non-coding RNA is filed under the name Brassica napus (rape). RNAcentral's name for it is "long non-coding RNA (BNAP_LNC017659)". The record is from RNAcentral. Lineage: Eukaryota; Viridiplantae; Streptophyta; Magnoliopsida; Brassicales; Brassicaceae.
CCAUGGACGCUCUGAACUCCGACGGUCGGGAUUGGAAAUGAAAGUCUCUCGCUUUAACGCCAUACGGGUUCGGAGUCUGAGGGAGAGCGACGCCAGAUUUGAGAACGGAGACUGUGGCGGCGGAGGGGGAUGGAGUAAGGUGGUGAAGUAGAGCGGCGUUGAUGGAGGUGAGAGAGGCGGACAGAGUCUGAGUCCGCCUUGAGGCACCAAGGACGGAUCGGCGGAGAACUGUGCUGAUCAUUUUCAGAUCUAGAGGAGGGAGGUGAGAUGAGAAGGAAAAUGUUUGACAGAGAAAACCCAAAUUAGGGUUUUAGGGUUUUAGUGAGGGGCCUUUAAAGAAGAAGAAGGCAGGUGGCAACUUGAAAGUAUCUACGCCUCCUACAAGUAUUAAAAAAAAAAAAAAAAAGAAGAUAUUUUGUUAUAAUCGCCUGCAGGUGAGUGUAUGGUAUACUCCUGUACCUGCUGCGCGAGUUUAUUUUUCCUUGAGCCCAGAGGUGUGAACAAAGUGGGCCGAGUUACUUGGUGCGUAAAUAAUUCCGGAUUUUAUAAAUACUAAUUUGAAAUUGUCAUAAUUUGAAUUGGUUAUUUUGACUUUUAACUAAUGUUAAUUAAUUUUAAAAAUAUCUGUUCAAUGUGCAUAUCUAACCUACUACUCGGCUGGGAAAUGAGAAUCAUUUUACUGACAAAAUAGAUCCACUCUUUUUCAAAGCUGUAAACUACUCGCGCUUAUGAAGAUUUUCAUGGCGGCUUCAACCAUAGUAUGACUCUGUACAUGGGAUGCCGUGAAGACUGAUAACAAGUCUGGUGAUCACUGAGACUAAACUUGCUCUGAGCAAGCGUGGGAUCGAGGUAAUUGUGUCCCAAGGCCAUUGCUCAACUUAUUGGAUUGUGUUUUUCCAAUUCUCUACUCUGCUUCACAGCAUUAGAAUUCAUAUGGUACUACUUAUUAAUGAAAACAUUCAAAAGACUAACUAUGAUAUAUUGCAAGUCUAUUUUGUUUUGUCAAGCAAUUUCAAUAGAAAAAUCAUCUAACAAACACAUAAUGAAUUGGCAUAUAACAUUGCGCACCAAAAUUCAAACUAAAACCAUGUAUAGCUGACUUAUCUGUUGAAUCCCGUAAGAUUCAGACAUUAUUGCAGGAUCAGGUCAAAACCCCCACCUGUAAACAUUCUCAGAAACGAUAUCUCUAAGCCCUGUCUCACUUGCUGCCUAACACAGGAGACAUAUCCAAACGGGUCUUGCAGUGGAACUGCAGCUCGUACUGAGCUCCGAGGAUACGGUAACGCUUCAACCAAAACAGCUUGUUGCUAAGCUCGUGGCUCUGAGCUUUGAUGACAAGAAACCGUUUCUUGAACCUCAUCUCGAACUGCUCUCUGGACUUCUUGUCGACGUGAGGGGAACGAAGCACCGUGUACAAGGUCCUUGUGUCGGGCAUGGCGGCGUAGCGACUGUGAGGAGGAAGACACCAAGCUUCCUUCUCCGGGUUAUCGAAUGAACGGAUCGCAAUGCAGAUCCUCGUUCCUUUGAUCUUUGAUGUGCUUUCUCCUCCUCCUUUCUUCUAAUUUAAAACCGCAACACACAAGAAAGAAGCAACGGUUCAUAACUGUAUUAGAAUCAUCUAAGAACGAGUUUUAGAGAAGGAAAUGGUACCUUCUUGCUCAAUGGUUUGACAUUCUCCGGAGAGAUUUUGAUCUUAGCUGAAUCUCCGAUGCUGCUUUCACUCCCUGUGGCGUAACCUCGAAACGAGAUCUUCGCCGGGGAAACCAUAGAAGGCUCAGAUCUGAUGUGGAAGUCCCUCGCGCUGAUAACGAACGAUGCGGAGGAGAGAGUAGAUCCAUUCCCAACCAGAUUCAGCUUCACGGAGGCUCCGGUGGCGGCUGAAGUGAUAUUGAGUGAGAGACCCGAGUCAAAAGAGGUCAGCGCGGCGGAGAGAGCAUGCCUCGACGGCAAGGAAGAUCUGCGGAGUACUCCGAUCAUUUACGGAGACUGUGGCGGCGGAGGGGGAUGGAGUAAGGUGGUGAAGUAGAGCGGCGUUGAUGGAGGUGAGAGAGGCGGACAGAGUCUGAGUCCGCCUUGAGGCACCAAGGACGGAUCGGCGGAGAACUGUGCUGAUCAUUUUCAGAUCUAGAGGAGGGAGGUGAGAUGAGAAGGAAAAUGUUUGACAGAGAAAACCCAAAUUAGGGUUUUAGGGUUUUAGUGAGGGGCCUUUAAAGAAGAAGAAGGCAGGUGGCAACUUGAAAGUAUCUACGCCUCCUACAAGUAUUAAAAAAAAAAAAAAAAAGAAGAUAUUUUGUUAUAAUCGCCUG